This 2268-nucleotide unclassified non-coding RNA is filed under the name Amphibalanus amphitrite. RNAcentral's name for it is "uncharacterized LOC122392589, transcript variant X2". Lineage: Eukaryota; Metazoa; Arthropoda; Thecostraca; Balanomorpha; Balanidae. The record is from RNAcentral.
CUGGAAGUGUGGCGUAGAAGGUGGGAGUACUGAAAGUGGAGACGGAGAAAUACGGACGGCGAAGACGACAGUACGGACAGAGGAGACGAGAAAUGGAGCCCAGACAGCUCCAAGAGGAGGUUAUCCAGAUGAAAGAAGAGAUGGCACUUCUGAAGGAGGAACUGACACGUCGUAAUCAAGAGGGCAUUGCCCGUUUGGAUGGGGAACUGACCACUCUGAAGAAAAACUGCGACCACCUGAGUGAACAAGUGGUCGGACUGGAGGGAGAAGUGGCCACACUGAAGGGAAACAACGCCACACUGAAGGGAGACAACGCCACACUGAAGGGAGACAACACUACACUGCGUCAGGAGGUGGUCCAUCUACGUGGAGAGGUGGUCCGCCUGCGGCAGGCUGUCCUCGAGGAGCGCACCACUCGCCAGGUCGUCGUGGAGGAGCUGCGGCAGGAGGUCCGCCGGCGAGCGGCGCUAUCCGGCUGUCCCCAGGGUGACGGCGAUGAGGUGGCUUCAAUGAAGGUUGACACUUGCGACAAGACAAGUGACACCAUCCGCACAUGUGACGUCAUCACCCAAGCUGAGGAGGAGGCGGGACUGGCGGGCGGCGACGUGCCAGAGGCUGCACCGCAAUGGCCUUCUGCCAUUUAUCUCCUGGAUACCGAGUUGUUGAAGAUGGUGCUGAGCAAGAUGGACUGCUGGGAAAUGUUCCGCGCCAGACGGGUCUGCCGUCGGUGGCGGUCCGCCGUCGACGAUAUCGUCGGCGACUGUCGGCGGGAGCUAACCGAUCAACAAACUCGAGGUGGAGAAGUCCCUGCGCCGACUACGGGCCUAGAGCUCGUAGUGAAGACACAGGACCAGCCGAAGAUGACUGAACUGCGGGCGCCGACGGCUGAGACAGACACCGACCUUCGACUGGUCGCGGCCACCUGCCACGCCCUGGAGAAGGCUAACCUGCGCGGCUUCAAGCUGCGAGUCUCUGCCCUGCGCCGGCUGGCGCGUGCCAACGCCUCCAGUCUGCGUGAGCUGACGUUGCCGGCUGGCAUCAGCGACUGGCAGCUGGAGGCGCUGCUGGAGCCGCUGAAGGCUCUGGAGCGGCUCGAUGUGAGCCCACCCGUGGACAGCUCCGGCAAGUGGCUGCGGCUGCUGCCCAAGUCGCUGAGGAGACUGGACAUCACUGAGGAUCCGGGAUGACUAGAACCCCAAUGAAGCACCCCCGAUGGCCGACGUCUGGACUGGAUGUCGGUAUCAAACGAGGCACGGACACACUCCUGGACCAGCUGGCUGUCCUGGCGACCCGCACAGUCACAGGGCUGUUCAUUGGUGGAUGGCAGUGACCUGCAGGAAACUGAAGACACUGUACAUCGAAUCCUCAACUGAAAACUGCCAGGCUGUCCUGACCGCCCUGCACGAGACAGACCUGGGAUGUGACAGUGGCCAGUCCCGUACCAUCGAUUUCAAUGUCCCCAAGUCUAUAGAAGACGAGAUUGAAGAGCCCUCAGACAGUAGCAUCUGCGUGGAGUACUACGACGACAUCGACUAGUUUCCCAGUGCCAAGGCCCUAGGCAUGUGAAUACCCACUACCCAGUGCCUCGUCUACUCCGUUGCCGAUGGCAGUGUCGGAACUCGACAACAGAUGGCAGCACCGUGUCUAGUCCGUAGUGUCGGAACUGGACAACAGGUGGCAGUACCGUGUCACGUCGGCAGCGCUGUGCUGAACAAAAUAGACAUCUAGUAGACCUUCAUAUCCAGAAGUGCUUUGAGUCGCCCUGUACCAUCGGGCCAGGUCCGUGGGUACUUUACCGCCGUGCUAGGGUGGUUUGGGUUGAGUGGCCACCUAAAUGCUUGAUCAUUUGAGCACAGAUUGCUACGUUUGUUGACACUGCUUUGAUAGACAGUAGGUAUAUUCAGUAUCCGAGAUGUAUCACGCUCUGGGCCAGUGUCCAGCCAUCGGUGAACCGUUGUCACCGUGCCGGCGGUACCGCCGUGGUGACGUCACGUGUGUUGUGACGUGACGUCACGCUGGCUCACACCGCUGUGCUGUUGUGUUGUAGUUUCAGUUUAGACCAGAGAGUGGUUGGAGCUAUCUGUGAGGGUGUCCGGUCCGGGCGAUAUCGGACCUCGCCCGUCACUGUGUCGGACUGUCGGUGGUCCGGUCGGCUGUGGUUCGUUUGGACCGGAUAUGUCUGGUUCGGUGUCGUUCAUGGGAUAUCACGGGCUGAUGGCGAUUGAAAUACACAGUGGUUCAGACGUUCAAUACACAACUGUUACUGGA